AGGGUCUUGGCAUCGGGCGAAGCCUCGACGACGCAACGCCGCGUGGGGGAUGAAGGCUUCGGGUUGAAACCCCUUUCGGCGGGACGAAGGGGCGCUAGCGAUUCUAAGGACCUCUGAACCCCUUCUAACUCCCCCUUGAUACCUCCCUCCCGCCGACAUAAUAAUAA
Molecule: ribosomal RNA, 167 nt
Filed under: uncultured bacterium
Lineage: Bacteria
Description: partial 16S ribosomal RNA
Source: RNAcentral